ACUUGCUUCCGCGCUCGUUCCCCUGGAAGGCGACCCGGACCCGAGCCCCGGAAACUCCUCUCCUCUACCCAGGGCGAUCGCCCAAGGAGCCCUGGCUGCCUGACUACUGCCGACGCUCACAGGGCGCUGCGAGGCCAUCCCCCGCGUCCCGCUUCUCCCCGGCCCGCGGGACUCUCUGCUAACAGCCUCAGAAAGUGAGGACGGGGGCGCGGAGGCGGGGGCAGCCUCCAGGCAGUGCUGCCUCUCGGUUCUUGGGAAUUAGCCCGGGGGAUUCGCGCUGGGCUCCGAGAGCCCGCAGAACCAGCGUCGUGUCCUGGGCGAGCUGGGAGGCCGGGGCCGAGUCCCGCGAGUCCCGCGAGUGUGCCUCCCCCGGACGCCUAGGUAAACAACUGAGCGCACAGAGGCCGAGAGGACAUCGUGUCUUCCCACGCAUAUUCGCUCACGGUCACUAAGUAGCUCUUCUUGGAAAGAGGGCGAUUGUUAAAGCAAUAGUGCGACUGUCGGGCUUGCCACGGGUGGAGAGAGGCGGACCCACGUCAGGUCGCAUCUCGCCUGCUUUUCUCGACCCCGACCGCAGGCGCUAACCCGUCUUCGGCUUUCUUCUUGACCCGUACGGUUUGCAACGUCUCUUAAAACAGUAACUCAACUCUCUACAAACCGGGGUAAUAUCCGGUGCUGAGAUCCCACACUGCAAGGCGCAGUUCCAAACGUCUGGUCGGCCUCGCAGGUCCCUCUUUCCAAGGCCUAGCCAGAUCUUGGUUUUGGAAUCUCAUUUAUCUGUGACCUGGGGAAUGCAAUACCCCCAGCUCCCUCCUACUCCUACAUUUAAACAAUGCCUAUAGAAGCCGCUUCCUGGGAAGUAAGGCAUAACCGAGACCUAGCCUCCCGGUAGGGAAGUUCAUCCGUUUAGUAAACAGCCCCAACUACGUGCGGACCCUCACGGGGAUACGAAGAAUUCAACCAGGGCUGGACAAGUCAGAGUGGGCCAAGGACAAGUGAGCAUUCCAGAGAAUUUCUACAUGACCAGCUGUUCAUUCUUUUAAGAGGAUGACAUUCUUCAGCUCAUCUGGAAAGGAUACUUCCUUUAAGUCUGUUAUUCACAGUCUCCAAGGGCAGGUGUAGUUGGGAAAGACAUUUCAUAUGGAAAAACAAACUUGAUAGGGUAAAAAAAAAAAAAAUGAGAUGUAAUCUGGAGGCCCAAGUCAUUUUCUUAGGAGAAACUCAAAUGUGUUUGGUGUUAUCUAACCUUCUGCAGUUUAUCAGUCUGAAACAAAUGCAUUCUAUUCUCAUUUGAAAAUGUCUGAACAGCCACCAAUUUUCAAAAUCACCCAUUUAACUAGAGACUUUAAAGCCCAGAAUUUGCAGUUACGUAUUUCAGAAUGAUUUAGUAAUUUUGUGAGCAGCUCAGAGGUUAAGUCUACAAUGUCUGACUACGGUGCAUUAUUGAAAAUAUCAGUAGUGUAAGGAUCCCGUAGAUUGGUGAUAACUUUGCUCUUGUUAUUUCAACAGUUACCACCAACAGUUGGUGACUUAACAAAUUAAGAGCAUAGUUGCCAUAUGCUCAUAUUUGGCAAAUAUGUCAAAAUGGCCAUAUUUGCCAAUUUUUAAGACAAUAAAUUCACAGAAAAUGCAUUACAGAAAAUAACUUAAAAAAAAAAAAAACAACUUUUGGGCCAGGCAUGGUGGUUCACACCUGUAAUACCAACACUCUAGGAGGCUGAGGUGAGAGGAUCCCUUGAGCCCAGGAGUUUGAAACCAACCUGGGCUACAUGGCAAGGCCUCCCUCUACAAAUGUAAAAAAAAAAUUAGCCAGGUGUGGUGGCAUGCGCCAUGUAGCCCCAGCUACUUGGGAGGCUGAGGUGGAGGACUGUUUGAGCCCAGAAGUUCAAGGUUGCAGGAGCUAGGAUCGCACCACUAUACAAGCCUGGGUGGCAGCAAGACCCUGUUUAAAAAAAAAAAAAAAUUCAGCUGUAUAUGCAAUGAAAACCUACAAGUCACUGAAAAGUUACUGAAGUUUAGAAAACUAGCCAACAAAAUCAUUGCUUUGGUAAACAAAUUUGAAAUGGCUAAUUGAAAGUACAUUUUACAGCUGGCAAUAUAAAGUUAUCUAUCAGCA
RNAcentral lists this long non-coding RNA (2116 nucleotides) under Homo sapiens (human). Its description in RNAcentral is "PHLDA1 divergent transcript (PHLDA1-DT)". Lineage: Eukaryota; Metazoa; Chordata; Mammalia; Primates; Hominidae. The record is from RNAcentral.